GGCAUCAAAAUCACUGUUUGUCAAUAAGGGAGACACAAAAUCAUUAAAACGAUAGGUAACUUCCAAAGGCUUUAGCUUUUCAAUAUACAGUCUCUUCAAGCCAUCAAUGAUGGAUGUAACUGCAACAAGUGGCAUCUAAGCAAGAAAUGAAAAAGGAAAGAAAGGAAACUCAUCAGAAAACAGGCAAAAAAUGCCAACAUCCCCUAAAAGACAGGUAGGAAGAAGUUGAUCUAGCAUAUUACCGAAUCAAAUGAAUGAACAACAUAUCAGACAAAAUAGGAUAGAGAAAUAGGUAUGCAUACGAAAAAUAUCCCUAUAUUUUGUAAAGAUUGCAACAUAAGAAAGUGGAUAGCAAAAAUUCAAUAGUGAGAUGUGGACCAUUGAUCCCAUAUAUUCUUUGGCUUAUAUCAUUAAACGAGGUUUCCAGUACAUUAAAAAAUAAUAAAAUAAUGCACGCGAAAUUUCUGUGCAAACAGGAAACCUGAUCACAAGCAGAAAAGGCACAUAAGGAUCUGCUGCUGCAUAAUUCCACAGAAAGAAAAAAAAAAAGUACAGUGAUAGAGCUGCAUUGCAUCUAAGAAAGUCACAUCCUUACUUCACCUUAAAUAGACAUCAGUCCAACCAACAGUAAAUGUUACAGUCAGGACUCAGGAAAAGGCAGAAAAAAUGGGUAACAAUGUAUAUUAGAAAUAAAUAAGAGAGACGGGAGAGGAGAAGGAUAUGACUCUAAUUAGACUCAAUUUGAGUCAGAACUGAAGAGCAUUUUGUGAUGACAUACUGGAACAUACAACUUACCUUUCUUGAAGAUUUCAAAUUAAACCGUUGAGCCAUUGCUGAUGAUUGUAGCUGAACAAAUCCAUUGAUUUCUGGCUCACUAUUCAUUGUUGAAACAUUUAACAAGGUAUCAAUGCCUUCCAUCAGUGGAGGUUUAAUAUUCUCCAUGGAAGAAGUAGUUUUAAGGAUAUCCGAGGUUAUCUCAUGUCCUGCCUGCGCCAGAGAAAUGAGCUGCAUAGCAGCAAUGAACUCCGUAAAUCCUAAAAAUCCUUGCCGUUUAGUAUCUGCAAGUGCCCAAACCUGUUUGAGUUCCUGGCGAGAAAGGUUGGACAUAGAGAAGAACUUAGUGGCAUCAUUUCCAGUGAUACGCCCAUCUCCAUCUGAAUCGGCUGUGUUGAACCACUCCUUGUAAAUCUGUUGGUGCUCUUUUGAGCAUGAUCCAAUUGUGCCUUUCCCCUCCAUUAUCAAAUUCAAUACGGAACCACACCCACUGACGCACAAAUAACAACUCCUUUCUAUGAGAUUCAAUUUUCCAAGGGAAAAUAUGAGAAACAGGAGAGUUUAUUAUCCCCUUUUCUUUUUCAGAAGAAAUAAGAGAACACUUGAACGUUUGAUCUCUCUCAAACAACCGUCUCCUGUCUCUUCAAAAUUUGAAUUAGUAUUGACAAUGGAUUUGGGAAAAAGGCGCAAUACCUCCCCCCCACUCCCCCCCGCUACUCUUGUC
RNAcentral lists this unclassified non-coding RNA (1498 nucleotides) under Hevea brasiliensis (rubber tree). Lineage: Eukaryota; Viridiplantae; Streptophyta; Magnoliopsida; Malpighiales; Euphorbiaceae. The record is from RNAcentral.